CUGGCUCAGAACGAACGCUGGCGGCAUGCCUAAUACAUGCAAGUCGAACGGAGAUAGCAAUAUCUUAGUGGCGAACGGGUGCGUAACACGUGAGCAACCUGCCUUAUACAUCGGAAUAACAGCUGGAAACGGCUGCUAAUACCGGAUAAGACCACACCAAGGCAUCUUGGAGAGGUCAAAGCGAAUUAGCGGUAUAAGAUGGGCUCGCGUCCAAUUAGCUAGUUGGUGGGGUAACGGCCCACCAAGGCAACGAUUGGUAGCCGACUUGAGAGAGUGAUCGGCCACACUGGAACUGAGACACGGUCCAGACUCCUACGGGAGGCAGCAGUAGGGAAUAUUGGGCAAUGGAGGAAACUCCUUACCCAGCAAUGCCGCGUGAAUGAUGAAGGUCUUAUGGAUUGUAAAGUUCUUUAAUUGGGGACGAAAGAAAUGACGGUACCCAAAGAAUAAGCCCCGGCUAACUAUGUGCCAGCCGCUGC
RNAcentral lists this ribosomal RNA (479 nucleotides) under uncultured bacterium. RNAcentral describes it as "bacterial SSU rRNA". It matches the Rfam family "Bacterial small subunit ribosomal RNA", at positions 19 to 518 of the family's 1533-position model. The record is from RNAcentral.